Molecule: ribosomal RNA, 458 nt
Filed under: uncultured bacterium
Lineage: Bacteria
Description: partial 16S ribosomal RNA
Rfam family: Bacterial small subunit ribosomal RNA
Source: RNAcentral
CCUACGGGUGGCAGCAGUGAGGAAUAUUGGUCAAUGGGCGAGAGUCUGAACCAGCCAAGUCGCGUGAGGGAGUACUGCCCUAUGGGUUGUAAACCUCUUUUGUCGGGGAGCAAAAGCCGGACGUGUCCGGCUGGGAGAGUACCCGAAGAAAAAGCAUCGGCUAACUCCGGGCCAGCAGCCGCGGUAAUACGGAGGAUGCGAGCGUUAUCCGGAUUUAUUGGGUUUAAAGGGUGCGCAGGCGGAGUUUUAAGUCAGCGGUCAAAUCGUGGGGCUCAACCCCAUCCAGCCGUUGAAACUGGGGAUCUAGAGUGUGCGAGAGGUAUGCGGAAUGCGUGGUGUAGCGGUGAAAUGCAUGGAUAUCACGCAGAACCCCGAUUGCGAAGGCAGCAUACCGGUGCACAACUGACGCUCAGGCACGAAAGCGUGGGUAUCGAACAGGAUUAGAUACCCCUGUAGUC